UUCUUGUCCUUAUUUUCUGAGU
RNAcentral lists this small nuclear RNA (22 nucleotides) under Arabidopsis thaliana (thale cress). RNAcentral describes it as "snRNA_06346". The record is from RNAcentral. Lineage: Eukaryota; Viridiplantae; Streptophyta; Magnoliopsida; Brassicales; Brassicaceae.